This 460-nucleotide ribosomal RNA is filed under the name uncultured bacterium. RNAcentral describes it as "partial 16S ribosomal RNA". It matches the Rfam family "Bacterial small subunit ribosomal RNA", at positions 338 to 795 of the family's 1533-position model. The record is from RNAcentral.
CCUACGGGCGGCAGCAGUGAGGAAUAUUGGUCAAUGGGCGAGAGCCUGAACCAGCCAAGUCGCGUGAAGGAUGACGGCCCUACGGGUUGUAAACUUCUUUUGUCAGGGAGCAAUUGGGACCACGCGUGGGCUUAGCGAGAAGACCUGAAGAAAAAGCAUCGGCAAACUCCGUGACAGCAGCCGCGGUAAGACGGAGGAUGCGAGCGUUAUCCGGAUUUAUUGGGGUAAAAGGGUGCGUAGGCGGGAUAUGAAGGCAGCGGUAAAAAUUCGGGGCUCAACCCCGUCGUGCCGUUGAAACUGAUGUUCUUGAGUGGGCUAGAAGUAUGCGGAAUGCGUGGUGGAGCGGUGAAAUGCAUAGAUAUCACGCAGAACUCCGAUUGCGAAGGCAGCAUACCGGCGCCCAACUGACGCUGAAGCACGAAAGCGUGGGUAUCGAACAGGAUUAGAUACCCUGGUAGUC